This 235-nucleotide ribosomal RNA is filed under the name uncultured eukaryote. Its description in RNAcentral is "partial 18S ribosomal RNA". It matches the Rfam family "Eukaryotic small subunit ribosomal RNA", at positions 632 to 877 of the family's 1831-position model. The record is from RNAcentral.
AGUUGGAUUUCUAGCCGACGUUAGUGGUCCCCAACGCUCAGCGUCUGGCGUACCGCACGCGUCGUCUAUCCUAUCAGUUUGUCUGGCUUCGGCCGGGCUGACUGGUUCUUUUACUUUGAAAAAAUUAGAGUGUUUAAAGCAGGCUUGCGUAAUGAAUACAUUAGCAUGGAAUAAUAAUAUAGGACUUCGGUCUCUACUUUAUUGUGUUCUGGAGAUGAAGUAAUGAUUGAUAGGG